This 643-nucleotide ribosomal RNA is filed under the name Candidatus Woesebacteria bacterium. RNAcentral describes it as "partial 23S ribosomal RNA". It matches the Rfam family "Bacterial large subunit ribosomal RNA", at positions 226 to 813 of the family's 2925-position model. Lineage: Bacteria; Candidatus Woeseibacteriota. The record is from RNAcentral.
AAACAGAGAUUCCCAAAGUAGUGGCGAGCGAAAUGGGAAUAGCCUAAACCGCACAGAUCAUAUGGCCUGCAAGCUUCGAUCGUGUGGUGUCGCGGGAGCUUUUGGAGUUCGUUGCAGUGAACUCAAAGAGUUACAAAUUUUUAUGAUAGAAGAACGAUUUGGAAAAUUCGGCCAUAGAGGGUGAUAGCCCCGUAAUCGAAAUCAUAAAAACUCUUGAAAGUUUCCCAAGUAGGGCGGGACACGAGAAAUCCUGUCUGAAUCCGGGAGGACCAUCUUCCAAGGCUAAAUAUUCGUAUCUGACCGAUAGUGAACUAGUACCGCGAGGGAAAGGUGAAAAGUACCCCGAUAAGGGGAGUGAAAUAGUACCUGAAACUGUAUGCUUACAAACGGUGGGAGAACUAUGGCCCGCAAGGGCAAUGUUUGACCGCGUACCUUUUGCAUAAUGGGCCGGCGAGUUAGUGUAUGUAGCAAGGUUAAGUCGUUAUAGACGAAGCCGCAGCGAAAGCGAGUCCGAAACGGGCGAACUUAGUUGCAUGCACUAGACCCGAAACCAGUUGAUCUACCCAUGGCCAGGUUGAAGCUGAGGUAAAACUCAGUGGAGGACCGAACCCACGAAUGUUGAAAAAUUCGGGGAUGAGCUGUG